UAUUGGUAGAUAUAUCCUAUUGAAAGAUAAAAAAAUCAUAAUUUUUUUGUCAUAUUAGUUAUAAGAUGUAAAUAUAUUAGUUAAAUUUAAAUUUAUUUUUAUUUUCAAAUUCUUGUAUGCCCUGAAAAAGUAUAUGUGCGAUAAGGCACGGCCUAAAGGGUAUAUAGUAGAAGCAUAUAUAGCUAUGAAGUAUGUCACGUUCUGCUCGAUAUAUCUUGACGAUAUCAAAAUA
RNAcentral lists this long non-coding RNA (232 nucleotides) under Elaeis guineensis (African oil palm). RNAcentral's name for it is "long non-coding RNA (EGUI_LNC029947)". Lineage: Eukaryota; Viridiplantae; Streptophyta; Magnoliopsida; Arecales; Arecaceae. The record is from RNAcentral.